Molecule: ribosomal RNA, 416 nt
Filed under: Bos taurus (domestic cattle)
Lineage: Eukaryota; Metazoa; Chordata; Mammalia; Artiodactyla; Bovidae
Description: partial 12S ribosomal RNA
Source: RNAcentral
CAUAGGUUUGGUCCCAGCCUUCCUGUUAACUCUUAAUAAACUUACACAUGCAAGCAUCUACACCCCAGUGAGAAUGCCCUCUAGGUUAUUAAAACUAAGAGGAGCUGGCAUCAAGCACACACCCUGUAGCUCACGACGCCUUGCUUAACCACACCCCCACGGGAAACAGCAGUGACAAAAAUUAAGCCAUAAACGAAAGUUUGACUAAGUUAUAUUAAUUAGGGUUGGUAAAUCUCGUGCCAGCCACCGCGGUCAUACGAUUAACCCAAGCUAACAGGAGUACGGCGUAAAACGUGUUAAAGCACCAUACCAAAUAGGGUUAAAUUCUAACUAAGCUGUAAAAAGCCAUGAUUAAAAUAAAAAUAAAUGACGAAAGUGACCCUACAAUAGCCGACGCACUAUAGCUAAGACCCAAA